Non-coding RNA from Pelobates cultripes (western spadefoot toad), 84 nucleotides. The record is from the annotation of a GenBank genome assembly. Lineage: Eukaryota; Metazoa; Chordata; Amphibia; Anura; Pelobatidae.
GUGUGUGUGUGUAUAUGUGUGUGUGUGUAUAUAUAUAUAUAUACUUAUAUAUAUAUAUAUAUACACACACACACACACGUAUUG